Molecule: non-coding RNA, 82 nt
Organism: Nowakowskiella sp. JEL0407
Lineage: Eukaryota; Fungi; Chytridiomycota; Chytridiomycetes; Cladochytriales; Nowakowskiellaceae
Source: the annotation of a GenBank genome assembly
GUCACUUUGUCCGAGUGGUUAAGGAGGCGCCCUGCUAAGGCGUUGCGUUCUGCGCGCGCAGGUUCGAAUCCUGCAGGUGACG